This 270-nucleotide unclassified non-coding RNA is filed under the name Hevea brasiliensis (rubber tree). The record is from RNAcentral. Lineage: Eukaryota; Viridiplantae; Streptophyta; Magnoliopsida; Malpighiales; Euphorbiaceae.
CGAAUUAUGGCUUCGAAAUACACCCCCUUCCUCUAUGGACAUGGAAAAAUGAGGUUUGGACACCGACUGGCGUAUCACAUCCAUGGCAUGUGGUCCGGAAACUCUCUCCCAACCAUGUACUACCUUGCCAUCCCCUCACUUUGCCUACUCAAAGGCAUAUCCUUGUUUCCAAAGGUUUCUAGCACGUGGUUCAUACCCUUUGCAUAUGUUGCCGUUGCAAGGCAAGCUUAUAGCUUGAUGGAGUCGCAAAUAAGUGGAGAGACACUGAUG